Cordylochernes scorpioides is the source of this 73-nucleotide non-coding RNA. The record is from the annotation of a GenBank genome assembly. NCBI's taxonomy places the organism in Eukaryota, Metazoa, Arthropoda, Arachnida, Pseudoscorpiones, Chernetidae.
UCCAGGGUAGCCUAGUGGACAUGGCACCUGCCCGGUAAGCAGAAGGUUGUGGGUUCGAUUCCCGCCCCUGGCA